RNAcentral lists this ribosomal RNA (399 nucleotides) under Babesia sp. RNAcentral describes it as "bacterial SSU rRNA". It matches the Rfam family "Eukaryotic small subunit ribosomal RNA", at positions 469 to 923 of the family's 1831-position model. The record is from RNAcentral. Lineage: Eukaryota; Apicomplexa; Aconoidasida; Piroplasmida; Babesiidae.
GACAAGAAAUAACAAUACGGGGCUUAAUGUCUUGUAAUUGGAAUGAUGGGAAUUUAAACCUCUUCCAGAGUAUCAAUUGGAGGGCAAGUCUGGUGCCAGCAGCCGCGGUAAUUCCAGCUCCAAUAGCGUAUAUUAAAAUUGUUGUAGUUAAAAAGCUCGUAGUUGAAUUUCUGCGUUAUCCGUUUCUUGGCUCUUGCCCGGAUUCGAUUUCGCUUUAGGGAAUCUCCCUUUUACUUUGAGAAAAUUAGAGUGUUUCAAGCAGACUUUUGUCUUGAAUACUUCAGCAUGGAAUAAUAGAGUAGGACUUUGGUUCUAUUUUGUUGGUUUGUGAACCUUAGUAAUGGUUAAUAGGAACGGUUGGGGGCAUUCGUAUUUAACUGUCAGAGGUGAAAUUCUUAG